GUUUGAUCAUUGAUUACGGCUCAUUUUUCACUUCCUGGCUCAGUGAAGCUGGAUUCUUCAACGUCAGCAGCUCCUCCACAUCCUGGCCGCGCUCCAGGUUUUCUGUCUCUCCGUCCUCAGAUUAACCUGUCAGCUGUGGAAUCUCCACUGUUCAGUGUUUGGCAGGUAAAGCUGGCCAGGUGACUCUGUACCUGAGUCUGCGGCUCCCUGCAGGUAGCUGCCAUUCCCUGCGCCAAUCAGCACAGUCUAGACUGAGAAACCAGACUUUGAGACCCACCCACGCGCUGGAACAGUACCCAUCCAGGUUCAACCACCCAGCAGUGCAGGGGCUGGUGCUUUAGCCUUCGGGUAACGAUGGUUUCUCGAGGACCAAAAGGGAUCCAAAAGCUGCACCCCUUCCCAGAGGGCCAGACUUUUGCGAACCCAAGGCUACGUGUGAAUACCUGCACGCUGUCUCGGAGUACCUGUAUGAACCUGUGCUGUCAUUUUACCGCGAAGUUCUGAGCACGUGUUCCAUCCCCUCUGGCUGAGCUUCUGUAUUACGAUGACGAACUGCUGAUGCCUUAGAUCUCCCGUUGACGUCAGGGAAAGGGACUUUCUAUUGGUUAAUGUGACAGCUCGGGGUGCUUCUAUUGGUUAUUGUGAUAGCAAAGAGUGGUUCUAUUGGCCAAGAGGGUGAAUUGAGGGCUCAGUGAGCCUUUCUGCCCUUCCAAAGUAAUCCUCUCAGAUCUGAUCAUUUUUUAUGAUAAAAUGACAUAACCCUGCCAAAAAAAGAAUGUAAUUAAUACUCUUCUCUUUGAAAAACUGUCUUUCCAGGCAGUACCCCUGAUGUAAACUGGCACGUCCGUCUCUCCUGGUUCACGAACAAGCUUGUCUCUGACAUUAUGCAGAGCCACGAAGUCUGGUGAACGUUUCAAAAUGUCAGAAUUCUUCAAAGAAGAUUUGCACGCCGGUAUUAUAAACAAGGGCCUAAAAAUCCAUUUCCUUUCAAGUAGUACAUUCUGAGUCCUUAAAAAAAAAAAAAAAAAAAAAUUCAGUUGGUUCUCCUUUAUAACGCGAACUGGAUUCCGGAAUAUGGAGCUGUUGUACUUUCCUUUGAGAAGACUGUUGCUGCCUUGCUCUGGGGGUUAUGAGGGCUUGACUUUCCCCUCCGUGGUAAAUGAAUAAAGAAGGUAGAACAGCCCUCACUUUCUGUGGACGAAGCUGC
Long non-coding RNA from Anguilla rostrata (American eel), 1207 nucleotides. RefSeq lists it as uncharacterized. NCBI's taxonomy places the organism in Eukaryota, Metazoa, Chordata, Actinopteri, Anguilliformes, Anguillidae. The transcript has 3 exons. The record is from RefSeq and is a predicted model, not a curated record.